UCCCAACCUACUCACCUUCCCAACGCUCCUUGCGACGCCAAGCAGGACAAGCACCCGGGCGCGCCUCCCUCAGCCCCUCCCCUCCUCGACCUCCCUCCCCUCUCCUCCUGCGUUCCUAAGGGCCGCGAGCCCCGCCACCCGGCCGGCCGCGCAGAACCACGUGUCCCAUGCUCCCGCACGCGGCUGGAGGUCAGUGCACGCAGAUCCGCAUGCGGAGCAUGGAACCGGCGCGGCUCCGACCACUCGAGCCAUCGCCGUCCAACCAAACCCGAGAUGCAUUUCUGCUGAUUCCCGUGGGCCUCAAGCCAUGCACGCAACGUGUUCGUUCAAUUGCCUGAGUUGGAGGAUAUGUUUUCUACCUGUCAAGUAUGUCUGUUAGUUUAUGAGCAGCACUUACGAGUGUUGAUUGAUCUUUUAUUUCGAUACUUUAUUUGACCUCCAAGCUGUUUCCUAAGAAAGAUCCUUGAGAGACUUUCUGAGAGAGGGAGGCAGAGGAACAAGCACAAUGUGAACGACUGAAGAAGCAGUUGUUGCGUAAGCAGGAAUUGAUCAUAGUAUUGCCACAUUGUGCUACCACUAUUCACCUUUCAUCAGCCUUCUGAAAUUACAUUUUCUUUUUGUACUUCUUUUUCUAUAGAAUUACCCAUUUUGUGUCACAUUUCAGAUAAAGCUUGCUUACAGUUGCUGGGAUGGAACUGGGCAUAGGAGAGCUUCCCAAGUUAAUUUCUAACUGUUACUGGAAUGUUUCUUCAAUGUCAAGUUUUUAGACUUUGCAGUUCAGACCUAAUAUACGAUUACAACAUAGCCUACUGGGAAAGGAUUUUUUUCACAGGUCAGCAGUUUUGAGGUAGUAUGCGAGUUCACAUAAAUAAUCCUCAAGGUGACUUCUGAUAUGUCCUUAUGUAUAAAGCACAUAUAUUUUUAAUGAUAUGCCUUAAUCUACCAUAUAGAAAGUUUUAAUCUAUACUGCUGUUGUGUAAAAGAUUCAUGAGCUUUUUAGGUGUUCUUUGUCCUUGAAUUGUGGAUCUGGAGUUUAAUUAUUUGGAGAAAAAAUAUUUUCCCAGUUUCAUGAGGUCAUCUCUUAGGUAAGUUAUCAUAACUGAAGCAGCAUAAGAACUUAAAUUGACCACCUAUAUCACCCUGAAUUAACACACGUGGUACGAACUUAAAUAAUGCAACACAUGUAGUACGAACUUAAAUCUUCCCUUAUGAUUCCAAAAAAACAUGAUGUGCUGCUGUACCUUAUAGGCUAUGCUCUGGUUUGCUUUGCAAGUUGAAAAUAAAGGGAGAUGCAUAAAUUCAACAGCGUUUGACAUCCAACUUAACUAAACUCAUUAUAGUACAUGAUUUUUGACCAAAUUUAAAUCACACAAUAGCACUUCUGCUUUUAUAUGAUGCCAUAGGGUACAGACAGCCCCUGCAAUUCAACUAAAACAACAACAUUGCAAAGGCCAAUAAGAUUGGAAGCUGUAACGUAAUCACAAAUUGGUAGAUGCAAGGUUUUGGAGUUAGAUUACUGAAAGAACAAUUAGGGAAAAUAGACGUGUUCCAUUCUUGAAUAUGGUGUUCACCUGAUUUUUUAUGUAGCCUUUUCUUACAAUUGUAUCCAGAUACCUGCUGUUUGUGCACACUGUUAUUCUAACAGUGCAAUAUAUAUUCAAGCAUUGGUUUACAUACUUGAGACAAGUGUUCUCGUGUACAUAUCUUUUGUGAAUUUUGUCCAAUCUCAGAGAACCUGACACUGUGUGCUGUGUAAUUUUGACUCUUUAGGUGAUCCAAGUUCGUGUAUGGACAAAGACAAGGAGCAGUAUUUAGCAGCUCCAACUGUGCAAGCUUUUCUUUUAAAAAAAAACAUGUUUACCUGGAUCAACUCAUGCCACUGCCAAAUAGUUACAGAGCCGCUACUACUGAGCUAUGAUGUUGCAAGCCAAAAAAAAAGGAAAGAAAACUCUGACUACUCUCUUUUUGUGUUCUAUUCAUCAUGAUCUGCCAUUUAUCAAUGUUAACAUGGAACAUUGAACUUCAACAUGAAUGUUGAAAUUAUAUUUCGCUAUUUUCUAGUUCUUUGUGUGUCAGCGCCCUGGACAAAACUUUCUCUAUCGCUUGCAAAAACUACUGCUUCGUUACAAAGAUGAAUAGAAUAACAAGGAAAGAAUCAAGAACACUUACAAAAAUGAACGUGUGGUCAUACAACCAAUGCAUUACCUCUACUAGUUUAUGAAUUAGUGUACUCUAAAUUUUAUAUAUCUACAUGCAACUUUCAUGUGCCUUGCAAAUAUGAACACCAUUUGCAUACAACUUUAUAUGAUCAACUCUUUUUUUCUGUUGUAUAACCACAUUCUGUUUACAUACUCAUUAUACUAAAAACGUAAAAUAACCAUCUCUCCUUUAAUACUAAAAUAUGCAAAGGCAAUUAGCGCGCAAGGGACCUCCAUGGCUGCGUGAACAUCGACUGAGGCCUGGAAUUGCUUGAACACACCAGGUAUGCUACUUACUAGAGUGUUGGUAUUCCCCAUCCUCUUGGUGCUCUUGCUACAACACCUAACGGUAUAGAAACCACCGAUAAAAAUCCAUGUCCGCUCCAAACCAUGCAUCAUCCAACAUUCACAAGCAACACAUCACUCAUGUUGCUUCUCAUCAACACACCUCAUAGCACCACCACAUCGCUAUGCCUCAUUUCCCUCCAUUCCUAACCACGACCAUCACUUGCCCAAGAUCAACCGUUGCAAUAUAGUAGCAGUGUAUCUACAAAACGAUGCUCCAGCGACAAGAUGUGCUCCCAGUCUUUAUUACAAAAAAAACAAGGCAAGAUCAUGGCACUCCCCAGAGCACCAACAAAAAACUUAAUACAAGUAAGCAUCAGUCAUAUUCUCUUAUUUAUUUCAGGAAUCAAGCAAACUGAUAAUAUAUAUUUACAAAUUCACAUGUCCUGUAGGUAGUAAGAGCCGCGAAAAACCCAGGAACUUCAUGAUCGAAUUUUUCUGGAUCAAUAAAAUUUUUAGCUACAGAAUCUCCCUACCAAUAUGUACUUCUGCAUUUAAAUUUCAAUGCAAAUUAUAGAUGCUAGCUUUAGUAUCAUUAUGUGUAAAUGCACUACUUUGUUUAAAUUCCUAUUGUACAAAUAAACAGUAUCUUCCAUGAUUAAAUGUUCCAUUACAAACAUAUAAAUUUGAAAUUUAACUAUAUCGGAAAAAAUAAGACAAAGGCGCGUCAACGCGCGCCCAAAGUAUUUUACAUGAAGAAUAAUUGUACUUUACCAUAUAGCUAUUUGCAUCCAUGGAAGGAACACCUGAAGAACAGGGCACGCUACUUCCAAUACAGCGCAAAGAAGGAUUUACUCCCAGUCUUCAUCACAGACAAAGGCAGAGCAAAACCAUACCAGUGCUUAGAUCACUAAGCCAAAUUCGAAAAAUUGAUUGCAGGUCAGGAGCGGGGCAACCAUUCCAGGGACUUUACAUUCAGCACUGCCUGUAAUAAGCAAUAGCACUUCAGUACUAAAAUAUAGCUAAUAGCAUAUCACAAAUAAUUGUACUAUUACUACUAAUAUAUGGACAUACCACGCUAAUGCUACGUGUA
Molecule: long non-coding RNA, 3576 nt
Organism: Panicum virgatum (switchgrass)
Lineage: Eukaryota; Viridiplantae; Streptophyta; Magnoliopsida; Poales; Poaceae
Exons: 3
Source: RefSeq, a predicted model, not a curated record